This 1491-nucleotide ribosomal RNA is filed under the name metagenome. RNAcentral describes it as "bacterial SSU rRNA". It matches the Rfam family "Bacterial small subunit ribosomal RNA". The record is from RNAcentral.
AGAGUUUGAUCCUGGCUCAGGAUGAACGCUGGCGGCGUGCUUAACACAUGCAAGUCGAACGAAGCGCUUAAGACAGAUCUUUUCGGAGUGAAGACUUUUGUGACUGAGUGGCGGACGGGUGAGUAACGCGUGGGUAACCUGCCUCAUAGAGGGGGACAACAGUUGGAAACGACUGCUAAUACCGCAUAGUAAGAAGGAUUCGCAUGUUUUCUUCUUGAAAGCUUUUGCGCUAUGAGAUGGACCCGCGUCUGAUUAGCUAGUUGGUAAGGUAACGGCUUACCAAGGCGACGAUCAGUAGCCGGCUUGAGAGAGUGAACGGCCACAUUGGGACUGAGACACGGCCUAGACUCCUACGGGAGGCAGCAGUGGGGAAUAUUGCACAAUGGGGGAAACCCUGAUGCAGCGACGCCGCGUGAGUGAAGAAGUAUUUCGGUAUGUAAAGCUCUAUCAGCAGGGAAGAUAAUGACGGUACCUGACUAAGAAGCCCCGGCUAACUACGUGCCAGCAGCCGCGGUAAUACGUAGGGGGCAAGCGUUAUCCGGAUUUACUGGGUGUAAAGGGUGCGUAGGUGGCAAGGCAAGUCAGAUGUGAAAGCCCGGGGCUCAACCCCGGUAUUGCAUUUGAAACUGUUUAGCUAGAGUGCAGGAGAGGUAAGUGGAAUUCCUAGUGUAGCGGUGAAAUGCGUAGAUAUUAGGAGGAACACCAGUGGCGAAGGCGGCUUACUGGACUGUAACUGACACUGAGGCACGAAAGCGUGGGGAGCAAACAGGAUUAGAUACCCUGGUAGUCCACGCCGUAACGAUGAAUACUAGGUGUCGGGGCCCACAGGGCUUCGGUGCCGCAGCAAACGCAUUAAGUAUUCCACCUGGGGAGUACGUUCGCAAGAAUGAAACUCAAAGGAAUUGACGGGGACCCGCACAAGCGGUGGAGCAUGUGGUUUAAUUCGAAGCAACGCGAAGAACCUUACCAAGUCUUGACAUCCUUCUGACCGUUCCUUAGUCGGAACUUCUCUUCGGAGCAGAAGUGACAGGUGGUGCAUGGUUGUCGUCAGCUCGUGUCGUGAGAUGCUGGGUUAAGUCCCGCAACGAGCGCAACCCUUAUCCUUAGUAGCCAGCGGUUCGGCCGGGCACUCUGGGGAGACUGCCGGAGAUAAUCCGGAGGAAGGUGGGGAUGACGUCAAAUCAUCAUGCCCCUUAUGACUUGGGCUACACACGUGCUACAAUGGUGGUAACAAAGUGAAGCGAACCUGUGAGGGUAAGCAAACCACAAAAAUGCCAUCUCAGUUCGGAUUGUAGUCUGCAACUCGACUACAUGAAGCUGGAAUCGCUAGUAAUCGCAGAUCAGAAUGUCGCGGUGAAUACGUUCCCGGGUCUUGUACACACCGCCCGUCACACCAUGGGAGUUGGUAACGCCCGAAGUCAGUGACCCAACCUUUUAGGAGGGAGCUGCCGAAGGCGGGACUGAUAACUGGGGUGAAGUCGUAACAAGGUA